RNAcentral lists this transfer RNA (83 nucleotides) under Schistocephalus solidus. It matches the Rfam family "tRNA". Rfam says of the family: Transfer RNA (tRNA) molecules are approximately 80 nucleotides in length. The record is from Rfam by way of RNAcentral. Lineage: Eukaryota; Metazoa; Platyhelminthes; Cestoda; Diphyllobothriidea; Diphyllobothriidae.
GGCCUCAAAGCUCAGAUGGCUAGAGCGCUGGCUGUACUGAAGCCUUCCCCUUGCUGGCGUGGGUUCGAAUCCCACCGAGGUCA